RNAcentral lists this transfer RNA (62 nucleotides) under Mizuhopecten yessoensis (Yesso scallop). RNAcentral's name for it is "tRNA-Trp". Lineage: Eukaryota; Metazoa; Mollusca; Bivalvia; Pectinida; Pectinidae. The record is from RNAcentral.
GUUUCCGCGGCUCCUUUUUACUUUUUUUCAAAAAAAGGGAAGGUUUCAAAACCUCUGAAAAA